Molecule: ribosomal RNA, 505 nt
Filed under: uncultured bacterium
Lineage: Bacteria
Description: partial 16S ribosomal RNA
Rfam family: Bacterial small subunit ribosomal RNA
Source: RNAcentral
GGGGGGGGGGGGGGGGGGGGGGGGUGGGGGCGCGUGGGGGGCGGGGGUUGUAGGGUGGCUGGCUGCGCCAUAGGCGGGGAGUUGCGGACGGGUGAGUAACGCGUAGGUAACCUGCCUGGUCGCGGGGGAUGACGAUUGGAGACGAUAGCUAAUACCGCAUACUAUUACUUAUUGCAUGCUAAUUGAUUGAAAGAUUCACCUGCAUCCCUACCAGAUGAACCUGAGUUGUAUUCGCUAGUAGGUGAGGUACCGGCUCACCUAGGCGACGAUACAUAGCCGACCUGAGAGGGUGAUCGGCCACACUGGGACUGAGACACGGCCCAGACUCCUACGGGAGGCAGCAGUAGGGAAUCUUCGGCAAUGGACGAAAGUCUGACCGAGCAACGCCGCGUGAGUGAAGAAGGUUUUCGGAUCGUAAAGCUCUGUUGUAAGAGAAGAACGGGUGUGAGAGUGGAAAGUUCACACUGUGACGGUAUCUGACCAGAAAGGGACGGCUAACUACGUG